This 324-nucleotide ribosomal RNA is filed under the name uncultured eukaryote. Its description in RNAcentral is "partial 18S ribosomal RNA". It matches the Rfam family "Eukaryotic small subunit ribosomal RNA", at positions 1470 to 1796 of the family's 1831-position model. The record is from RNAcentral.
CCCUUAGAUGUUCUGGGCCGCACGCGCGCUACACUGAUGCAUUCAACGAGUUUCUUCCUGGUCCGAGAGGAAUGGGUAACCUUUUGAAAGUGCAUCGUGAUAGGGAUAGACUAUUGCAAUUAUUGGUCUUCGACGAGGAAUUCCUAGUAGACGUAGUUCAUCAGACUGCAUCGAUUACGUCCCUGCCCUUUGUACACACCGCCCGUCGCUCCUACCGAUUGAAUGCUCAGGUGAGCCAUUCGGACCUUCAUCAUGCCGGUUUCCGGUUUUGAUGAGGGAAAGUCUUGCGAACCUUAUCAUUUAGAGGAAGGAGAAGUCGUAACA